UGUAGUGUAGACCAGGACGGGAGUCCUCUGUUUUGCCACAGAACAGGUACAGCACAGGCAGCGGCAGUCAAGCUUCCCCACGCAGUGCUUCCAGCUCUCCUCAUGUAAAUCAGGAGCGAUAGCACUGAAGGCAGUGCAGUCACACCAAUGUAAAAUUGUUAUAA
This 164-nucleotide small RNA is filed under the name Chrysemys picta bellii (western painted turtle). Its description in RNAcentral is "TUC338 (ENSCPBG00000022984.1)". The record is from RNAcentral. Lineage: Eukaryota; Metazoa; Chordata; Testudines; Emydidae.